Long non-coding RNA from Gallus gallus (chicken), 14736 nucleotides. RefSeq lists it as uncharacterized. Lineage: Eukaryota; Metazoa; Chordata; Aves; Galliformes; Phasianidae. The transcript has 3 exons. The record is from RefSeq and is a predicted model, not a curated record.
CCCACUGCCUUGGAGCAGACACUCGCCUUCGGAUGCUGGAUUUUGGGGGAAGGAGAAAAGAGAAAAAAACAAAGCAGCACGCCUGAGAGGUCACCCAUAGUUUUCCUCUGAUGCACGUUGGGAGCCCUUAAGGAGGAUGUCUGCUCUCCCCACAACAUCUCCAAGCACCUUGGGAAGAAGUGGCAAUACCGAGAAAUACAGAGGAGCAGUAAGGAAAUAUUUCCAUCUCUUCUGAGUCCUGAUUGCCCUCUGGAUGGGAUUCUGGUGGCACGGGAUAAUCAGCACACCGGGGAAAAUGUGGGAAAACUCCACUUGCUUCCAUGGAGGCACAUUCGGAUUUGGACCUCUGAUUUCAGCUAAAGCCCAGAUUGCAGGAACAGAUGCAUUCCUGAGCAGCAAAGUUCGUGUGUUCAAUACGGCACAGGAAAGUAAAAUAAAUUCAGAAGAAAAAAAAAAGAGAGAGAGAAAAACAAAAGAAACUCAUAAAAUGUAGAUGUUGUAUCAGAAGAAUUAGUUUGGAGUAGAUUUCUUUGCAGAGUUUUCCAGUAGGUAUCAACACUCAUUAAUGGAAAAAAUAAUGUCUGGUUUGAUUGGAAAGUGUUCUUUGGUCGUAGAAGGAAUUUUGGCUUGCCUGGGGCUGACUCCACUACUGGUAGGUAAUGUUUAUAGUGGAAAGACUUCCCCAGGCAGCCCCUGGGGAGAGCCUGUGUUUGCUUUCAAAAGGAAAGGUUUUCAGGUGCAGCACAGAAGUCGGAAAGCAAGGCAGUUCAGCAAAUAGAUUUUUAAUCCAAUUUAAGACUGUGCCGGGUCGGGCAGGACGGUGCCUCCACUCACACCCCAAAGCCAGGCUUCCAGAAGGGCUCGGCACUUGUGGAUGUGUCCGAGCGUUGGUCACCUCUCUGCAGCCGUGACCUGGAGGUCUGCGGGCAGACACAGCCCUUGGCUGAGUCAGGACAAGUGGCAUUUGUGCUGGGAAAGCUGAGCAGCAGCUCCGCGUGUGAAAUAAACUACAGUCGAUACCGUGGUCCCAAUAAGAACAUUCCAGUGGUAACUGUGCCUUGGAGGGCAACGCACCGCUAGUUAAUGGUGCUCAGUUUGGAGAUAUUUAGAAGUCUUCUGAGUGCUUGGGAUCAUUUCCAAAUAUUAAGAGUAUACAUCACACGAUGAGCCAGGGAGAUCUGAACCGAAGUAUGGCACCUCCACCUUCCAACGAUAAAAAGCAGGGCUUUCUGAGCAAGUAGGUUCCCUACCGGUGGCUCUUAGGUCCUCUGGGGAUGGGGGACAGAAAGAUUUUGGGGCAGACUGCGGGGUUGUACCCCAAAACACAUACCUCGCAGCUUGCAUAACCAUUUUGCCCUAGUGACAGCCAGCUCCUGGGCACCACGCUUUGGACUUCGGGAUGCAGUAUUCCUCCUUGUGCUCUCAUCUAUGCCCCUCCAGGCUGCUUCCAGUGCAGAGUGAGUGAAAGAGGCCCCAUGCUCCUCCGCAUCCUGCACGCCACGGCUGCAUUAAAUAAAUACACAGCAGCCCCAGCCCCCUGCCUGGCUCCUGCGAACAACCCGAAGGACUGCUUGCAUGAGAAAGCAAGGCAGGAUUUCUCCCUAAGGGGACAAAGCCUCUAAAUAUGCAAAGCUUUUUAGUAUCCAGAGGGCUUCACUAGGACAAAUUUAUGGUGAAAUGGGGUUGUGUUGUAAUUAUAUUCUACAAGCCCAGUUCCAACUAGCAUUGCUCCAGAGCUGCUGUAGAUGCAUGUUCUCUAUACGGCUGUCCUGCAGCAGCGCUUAGUGCCAGAGCUAAGGGUGGUGUUGACAACACUGCGAAGAUGUUUCCUUGGAGCAGACCAAAGCCACGGUCUGCAUGUGCACAGAGCCGGGGGAAAUGUGAGGAAGGAGGAAUCUGAGGGACUUGUGGCAGAGCCUCAUGGCAUGAGGGUACCUCUGGGGGAAGAGGAUGGUGGAUGCUUCAGCACAGAAGUAAAGAGUUACAGAAUUAAAACUACAAUAUAAGAAGUAGACAGCUUUGGUGAAAGUUUAACACUUUGUUUAAACAGAGUGACAUCCACUGUGAUGCUGCUACUGCUCCACUAGCUGGCUCCUAAAGGAGAACUGUGAAUAUAGACCGGGCUUUAUUUUUUUAAGUGCUCAUUCUCCAUAUAAACGCUGUGGUCCAGUUAUCCCACCAGCAGGGCUUGGACAGCAAAUCACCCUUCUUCACCUGGAUUUAUCCUGCUGUCCCUACCUGCAAAUAGCAAGCAGCAUUGCAUGACCCCUACCGCAUACAGGCCUAGUUAAGCUGUUUUUUUUCUCUCUUCUUGGACGUGACUUAGAAAGGAUGUAAUUCCUUGACACUUAUGCAGCAGCCAGUGAAUGUGACCUGGGGCAGGCAUCUUCCCCGUGCUGUCGUUGCACAAGGGCAGCCGUGUUUCAUCUUGCACUUCUGCUUCUUGACUUAGUUCCCUUAUUGUUGUGCUGCAACAGUGGCUAGGUACAGUGGAUGGAUGUUUCCCAAAGCACAAACCCUGCAGUGACACGUUUAUAAUCAAAAGCAAAGAAGCGAGAGAACAGCAGAGAUAAGAGGCAGGAGGUAAGGAGUGUGAGGCUUUAGGGAUAAGGCGGUGGAGCAGAGCACAGUUUCAAAGUAAUUGGAUCCGCUAAUGUUGGAGUUUUGUGCAGGAAUGUACAUCUGUUUCUGAACUGUUACCAGCUGAUGUGCCCGUUCUUCCUUUCUGCUUUCUUGGAUAUAAAGCCCCCGAGCAGCAGAUCAGCAUACAGGGGAGAAGGAGAGGCUGACCUCGGUCCAGAAAAUAGAAGGAGAAGGACAUACACAUGCACUAAUGAGUUGUACAUCUCCUAGUUCCCAUCCCCUUAUGAAGCCGAUAGCUCUGCCCAAGCUUUGAUCAAGCACAUGGAUCACAAGAGCCGUUUGCCCUCAUCAUGCUUUCUCAAGAGCGAUGCUUCCAAAAGCAUAACUUAGCUCUCACAUCCCUCCUGCAACACUCCGAAGAACAACCAACCCCAAAUGCUGGACAGAUGUGCACUAUCCAUGGCUACCCAGCCCUGCAUCUCCCAAAUACUCGCCUUUUGUCUUUCUUUCUCUCAGACUAUAAAAAGUUUGCUUUAUUUGCUGUUUACUGUCCCAGGACAGACGGUCUGCAGUGUAAUAAUGAUGGAUGCAAAUCAUGAACAACUUUCAGAAACCGUGACGGCCCUGUAAUUUGUAGGUUUUCUGUUUGGGGCCUGGUUUCUGCAAAGCACUACAGUGCGCUUCGGAAAAGAGGUUUGCGUCUGAGUCAGCUCCUGUGGAACACAUGCAGGUGUGUACAGUUACAUACAUGCUGAAUUUCUGAUCUGAAUACCCUCUGAAAUAACAAAAGAGAUCUUCAAUGGAUUCGACAGACCUUGGAUGAGGGACUGACACACUGCACUGUCAGACAGAGGGUAAUUUCACAGCUCCUGGUAGUCCAUGCUCCAUUGUCAGUGGGACAGGGAUAAUUCAGACCAGAUCCAGUUCUGCCUUGAACACUUGGUUCACUGUUUCAAGUCUGAUUGCCUUUUGCUGGCAAGAUUAGAAAUCUGCAUAACUUCUCAUGUCAGUAGUGUUGCAAAGAUAGUGUGCGUCCUGCUGUAGGAAGAAACCAAAACGCAGUGGCAAUGCAAUUGUGGAUUCUAAUUUUAAUGACAGUGCAGAGCAAAAAAAGAACCAGCAUUUGGGGGAGUAAAAAGUAGUAGCUAUCACGAUUCCAAAAAUAACAUUUCUAUUUUAGAUCAUUUACCCGAGGCCACCACUAAUUGCAGAUCAGAGUGGAACGUCUCUCUGGAAAUCCACAGGGAAGACAGUUUUUUUUCCCUCUUUUUGGAAGGUGAAAUAUUAAUUGUGGCUGCUGCAGCAAUAACUGUAGCUUAAAACCUGGGUUAGGAAAAAUGAAAAUAUUUUUUCAUGAAGUGGAAAAUCAAAGCAUGUGAAGUAUUUUGUUCUGCUGGCCUUUUCUUCCCACAUCUCUAGGCUCAUUAAAAUGGGGAGAAAGGACUUCCCACCAAGAGAGAAUCCAAAACCAAUCUGGCUGUUCCAACAGUGUUCAGAUGAUGCUGAAGGGUUCAGGCUUUGUUUAUUUUUUGGGUUGCAACACCCACUUCGAGGCAGGUAUAUUCAUAGAAACAUCACGGUUGGCUUCUGAUAUUAUUGAUAUUGCUUGAUAGCUUCUCCAGCUCCAGAAAAUUGAUUCAGAGUUUGCUCCUGAGAUGAAACUUUGGUUGACUUGAGCAGUUCAAAAUGCAGGUUACUGUCUGGGAAAAAUCUGGCCAGGCUGGUGCUAGUACAGAGAGACCGACCCCAUCUCCCUUUCCAGGCCAUGGAGAGAGGGACUGUCCGUUCUGGAUUACAAAAGAUGCCUGCAGAAGCUGACUGCAUCAGGUCAGUCCUUUGCUGUCUUCUUUGAUGUGUGAAACCCCUUAAACAAUGCAAGGAAGGCACUGAUCCCAUGAAGAUUUAAGGCUUACUUUUUCAGCCUUCUUCCACAGACCUCUCUGAACAGGUCAGCAGGAUCCCAGUGUGACAACCAAGAAAAAGUCCAAAGUAUUGUUGCUGGUACUCCUGAACUUCAGUAUUUUUGAGGAUUAACCAUAGUCUUUGAAGGCUACGUCAUGGAGGAUGUGUGACGUGCCUUCUUGUUGCCAGCCAGAGAGAAUCAAGAAUUGCCUUCUAACGGCACAUUUGUGCCCCCAAAAAUUACAUGACAUGCAGAAAGGCAGAUCCAGAAGUAGCUUUGUUUGCAUGGAUGUAUAACUCUAUGAAUAUGCACACAGUGAGGAGGGAUUAAUUGCCUGAACUUUAGCCAAACAGAUUUUAUCUGUUCAGGCUACCUCUAGAAUUUAACCACCAUCAUCUGGCAGUGCAGAUUUUGGGUAGAAGGGAAGCCAAAACAAUGGACUUGGACACAGAAAGAUAUUAGAAAUCUCUGCCUGGAAGAGGUGAACACCUCCCAGGAUGCUGGAUGCAUCUGCUGGUGGCCUUAACACAGCCCCAGAAACAUCUGGGCUGGAGCCCACUAGGACUUGGGGAAUUUUCAGAAUUUAGAAAAUUCCAAUUUUGAGUGUAAGGGUGAAACAAGAGGAAACUUUUUAAUAUUUCUGAAGUGUAGAAAGCCAAAUUUUUGUGAAGAGAAUAGGUUCAGUUAAGCCUUUUGUAGUCUUUUGGCGAGCUCUGAACUCUACCUUGGCUUUACUAAUAUGUGAGCUUGUAAACCCUCAAGCCUUCCUCUGCCCGGAUAAAAACAGGCAACAUCUGUCCUCACUCCUCAUCCCCCUACACCAUCAUUGUCCAAUCAUUUCUUCCAGGGUUUAAGCCAGAAUUGAGUCCGUGUAUCACACUGCAUGUGUCUUCUGGCUAAGGGAGACUGGACAGUUCAUUAGCAGUGAUUGUUGAUGGGUUGGAUGGGUCACUGCUGAGUGGCAGGUCAUUCAUCAUGGAUCCCAAUGGUAAAAGUCCCACCUUCAAAGUGUUCCCACUCCCAAUCAAUGCGGUAGUGGUAUCCUAGAGACGGGAUCUUGGUUUCCUGUACCAGAAAGGAAGAUUUCUACCUGUCAGGUCUUUGGCAUCACUGGACCAACUCAAGAAACUGGGCUGAACCUCCCCUAAUAUUCAUCCACUUUAAAGAGAAACUUCGACCUUCUGCCUCAGUGGUUAUAGAGGUUGCUUUGAGCCAAAACACAGCUGUUCUUCCAUGCUUUGAUGGAAAAAACAAAUGCCUAACCUCUUCCCUUUCCUGGAAACUCUGCUCAAAAAUCAUAUUCACUCUUCCUUUCUUAUUCAUCUCUUUCAACCACAUUUUAACUUUUUAUUUUGUUCUCUCCCAACAGUACUUCUCCAUGUUCUCUGUGCAGCUUCAGGUAUUAGCAACAGUCCCACAGCAGGAGGGCAAAAUACAUGUUUAUUGCUUUUGGUCUGAAGAAUAUGAGCCUAACUCAUAACUGUGGAAGAGCUGUGGCUCACACUCUGAGAGGGUUGAUGAUGCUGUUGAAUCUCUUCUGUGGUUUAGUGUCUAAGAUCUGGUAAGGAUACCUUCAAUAACCAAUUAAAAAUUCAAGUAAGCUGGAGAAGGUCUCUUUUUUUCCUUGCUUUCAUGUAUUUAAAUGGCCAAGAAGAGGGAAGGGGUAUUACCUUGUAAAACCCUGUGGAUGGCUGCUGAAUGUCUCACCAACUAAAUAAACAAAAAUCUGACAGAAUUAGUCAUAGAGGGAAAAAAAAUUGUUUGACUUUCAAACAGAGCAACAUUUCAUGAAGCAUUCCUUAGAAAGUACAAUUUAUUUUGGAAAACCAAGCACCCUAACUCUGACCCCCUUACCUCUAUGUGCUUCAGUUUAGUAUCCUUGUGUCUCCAGCUACUAACAAACCACAGCAGCUGAGUAGGAAGAGGAUUGCUGUGUCCACGGUUGCAUGUCCACAAAUGGAAUGGACAUAAAAAGCCAAAAAGUAUUACUUUUAAUCCUACAAGCCUAUUGGACUGCUGUACCUGAUGAAACUGCUUACCUAUCAGUUGAUUUGUCUUUCCUUUGGUAAUUCAUUUACUGCUGAAAAGUUGAAAUCUUCUACUGGGAAAAGAAAAAAAAAAGAAACACAUCUCACUGAGUGGCUAUACUUGGAACACCAGACAAGACAUUCAACCAAAACUGCUCAGCUGAGGGGGAACAUUAUUUUUCUUAGUCUGAUUAAAACAACUUCUUUUUCUUUGUCUUUACUAACACCUGUUUGUCUCAAGCACCUGAAUAAACUUUGAGGAGGAAAGAUAGCUUUUUUAAAGACCCAAGUGGACCUCCACAGAUCAGGUUCCACUUUUGGAAUCCUCCACAUAUCCAUGGGAAACCAAGCUUGGCAUUCCUAUUGAGAUCUGUUGAGAAAAAAGCCCAAGCAUUUCUUUUGAAAACAAUUAGAUGACAAACUCUCAACCUAAACAAACAAAACCUCAGAAGGUUUGUAGUAUUUAAAACAAGCAGUCAUAAAAAUAAAGAAAUUAGUGGCAGUGGUUCGUUUUCUCAAGAGUAACAACCUCUAUCUGUGUAGACCACGUUGUCUGUUGGAGUAUCCUGAAUGACAUACCAAGUCUUCUUGAUCUAGAUCUGGUUGUAAAUAUGCUUGCUGUGUUAGGAUCAGCUGGUGGAAUGUGGUGCUCCAAUAGUACUGUAAGAAGUUGAGUUCUGAUUUUUCCAUUGCAGCUGUGCGUAACCUACCUUGAGUAUCUCAGAUGAGAAGUAACUUUCAGCAAUGUUCCUUUUGGUGAAGCUGUAAGAUGCAUUGCAGGGCUGGAUGCACCAGUACACUCUACAGGAUGGGUCUCGUUUCAGUCUCUGAGCAUGAGAACGACAUCCUCUGUGGUCAGCAUCAAGCAUGUAAGGCAUUAUGCUAAAGUCAAGAAGGUAAUGCAUGUGCUCAGAUUCUCUCCAGGAGCAGCCCCUGUGUAGGAGACAUGGGCAGCACUGCAGCCUUAUGGAUGUCAUCUAAAUUCCAUGGUAUCUAAUCACAGAAUCACAGAAUUGUAGGGGUUGGAAGGGACUCCCAGAGAUCAUUGAGUCCAUCUACCCGAAAUAUUUCAAUUAAAAAAAUAGCACUGCAAGGUAGCUCUUUGCCACGGGGAAGAAUACCACAGCCCCUUGUGGAUUGCAAAGUAUUACAUUUUCCUGCAUUUUUCCUCAAGAAUUCUUUUAACUUGCAUUUAAUUGUUGAAGGAGGAGAGCUAUAAAAUAUACCUGUCUUCAGCCUGCACUUCCCCCAGAUUUUUCAUUAUCAGUUGAGCUUUGUGACUUCUUUUUUUUUCCUGGCAUCAAUACUACUGUGAUGUUUCAUUUCCUUCUAUUUUGCACUUUUGGCAAAGAUAAAGUUUACUGUCGUUUCACUACAUUAUCUAUCAGGUGACCUGGAGUCUGAUCCACAACUUGCAAAGUCAGCAGAAAAUUUUAUGUUGCUCUCAGCAGGCUUUACAGCGACCUUUAAUAAUUCUGGCCUCCCAAGGGAGCUGAAGUACGAAUCCAGUAGGCAUUUGUCGUAUCUCAGUCUACUAAACGGCCAAUAAUACCUUGCAAUAUUUUUGUAGGCCUUUGAUCCAUCUCUGUUGCCUGAUUGUGCUUUGAAGACUUAAUAGUCCCCCAUAUCCCGCACUUAUUAAAUUCAAAUUCUCCAGUUGCACUUCCCUGGAUGAUACAUAAAAAUAACACAUGGAGGAAAUAUAACUGGAAGAUCCUUUCUAUAAGAUGGCUUACAUUUCAUUCGUGGGGAAGACAUUGAAACCAUUGCUUUUGUGCUCGUGACAGAACCCAUCUGUAGAAUUUAGAUAUAGUGGAGUGUAUCUGAAAAAGCAAUAAUAGGCCAGGGAGUUGUGUGUUGGCAUCAAAGCUUCAAUUUUCAGUGUGCUGCUAGGCAGCCUUUCAUUUAGAAAGAAUUAGCAGUAGAGGGACCUAGCUGAGCUGCAGACGUUACCGCUGGCUCCAAGAAUAGAUGGUUGUAGUGGGAUUUUAGGGUAGUUUUAUCAUGACUGGGACAUGGUUAUUUCAGGGGUCUGAUAAGAAUUCCACUGAAGACUCCCAGAGUUGCUCAGUUGUCUAAAAGGAAUGGGUGAAGCACUGAGGUAAGUCAUUUUCUUGAGGAUGAUGGCGAAUAUAAUGGGAGAUGCAGCCAACUGGAGGUAGAGCCAAUCUCAGCCAAGCAGGAGGACAGCUGGUCUGUCAACUGCUGAAAGAACUGGGGCAGUCCCUUGGAGAACCUCCAGUCUGCUAGGACCCUUUAUCAGCAGGAUGGUAAGGAGCUUCUUCAAGGGGUUUUAAUCUGUGAGCCUGCUAUGGCAGACAAGCCAGCAUGGCUUCCUGUCGUCUGGCUCUCCCUGUGCUCUGGUUUAAUCUCUUGAUGACUUGGCACAUAUGGGUUGUAGAUGGCAUUACAGGGCUGCCUUCGGGGACUGCACCUGGGGACAUGGCUACUGGGAAAGGAUGAAAUCACUCAUUUAGACUGCUCAAGUGAUUGUGACUUUGCCUAAUGAAUCUGCAAGGAUUUAUUCUCCCUAUCAGUCACCCUAUGAUGUCUCACUCUGUUUCUCCAGAUCUCCUUGGUUGUCUUGUCUUCUUUGUGUAGUAGGGACAGCACGGAUCCACAGUAAGACCGGGGAAAUACUAUUAGUCACACUUUAUUUUCUGGCACCACACCAGGAGACAGGUCAGACAUUUAUAAUAAAUUCCAGUGAAGUCAACUCAUUUCCAUACAAAGUCCCCUGCAAGCAUGAAGCUACACACAGAAAUGUGAACAGUCAUCAGACCUCACCUCCAUUAAACCAUGUUCUCCUUCAGAAAGCUCUUCCCUCACCCUAAGUCUGAAGAGAACCAAGAGCUAGGCCGCUCCAGAAAUGAGAUGGAAGAAGAGCACUGAACCUGGUUCAGCCUUACUUCAGUAACAAGACCCAAGGAGCUAACAAAGAGACAGGAUCUCCACUUCAACACCACUAAAAGCACAAGCAGCACUUUCUCAGUGGUGGGGUGGUGGAACACAUACCUUGCAGCUCAUGAGGCAAAGCUAGAGAUGUCAGUGUUUUGCUACAUGUUUUACAACCAGAGCUCAGUGAUAUUUUUAGUGGAAUCUGAUUUUUUUUUUUUUAUGAUAGCACAUGCUGCUGUUUUGAUGAAAAAAUGAUAAGGAGGACAAAAAGGAAAAAAAAAAGUUGAAAAUUAAAUAACUUGUUUUCAAGGAAGUUAAGAACUAUCCAAAGGAAGUUUUCACAAGCACAAGAAAUCUGAUUUGGGGGAAAGCAGGAGGCCGCAGGCAUCAGUGCUCACUGCUGCUAUUGCAAAAGAAGAAUCCUCUGACCUCACAGAUAGAUGGAAUAAUUUUUCAAACUUCGAAGUGUGACUGCUUUGUUUUGUUUUGUUUUGUUUUGUUUAAUAUAGUCUUCUUUCUCUGUGCUUUUGUGGAGAAAGAUGGAAGGAGAUUUUGAAGUGGAAUCUUUGUAGGGUGGGGUUUGCUACCACAAAGGUGCAUAGAAACAUAGCAUACAAUGACCACCUAUUAGCCCUGAGUGCCCUUCCCUAAAUCCUUUUGUCACUAGAUGAAGGCUUUUAAUGCAGGAACUUUCUCGAGGGUGUUGAUGCCAUAGUGGUCAAUCCAGCUGCAGGCAGCAGUAGGCAGACUGCAUUUCUCCCAGCACACAUGGGGUAAAACUCCCCAUGAAUGCAGUGGGAGCAGUGUGAGUCCAGAGCAGACUGAUUUAGCAAUUUGCAAGCCAACAUCUGUCAGGCACUCAGCAGAGAUGAAUAACAAAGUCAGACUGGAGCAGACAUAUGACGAAAUCCUUCCACGUGGAGGGAAAGGGAAGGGGGAGGGAGAUGGCAAUCCAACGUGUGCUAAUAUUUUCAUUAUAACGUGAAGCGUAUCAGUAACACACACACGUGAAGCUAUGGAAAUGUGCAGAAUAUUGUUGUGCCAUAUGUUUUAAAUAUCAUUAAGCAGGCCAGUUCUGUCGUAUAUUUGAUAUUUUGGCUGUUGUCACUAAAAAUGGACCCACUAAUUCAUAUGGAAUAUGAAUUGGCCUUGAACGCUGCCUAAUCACUGACCCAAAGAGAGUUUGCAAAAUGCAUUUCUAACCUGAGAAACGAUAGGCUGAAUCUUGUGCCGUGGGAGGAGACCAGUUGGUCGGACACUUGACCCAGAUACAAAUCUCUUGGGUUAAAAAUAAAGAGACAGUUGGAUAGCAGGGAUCAAAACACGUCGCUGAUAAGAUUUGUUUAGCCUUAUUUUGGUUUUGCUGGAAAAGACAUCUCGGGCAAAAAUUUAGAUAGCUUUUCACAAGUUCUAUUUUUCUGUGUUUUCCCAUCGGUGUCUCAAAGCAAAGAGGAAGUAGUGAAAUGCUGAUACAUUUUUUAGUUUGGUAAUUGAAGUAAAAUUUAUGUUUUCUUUCGGUUUUCCAGUAAAGGGAACGAUGAAAUUUGAAACAUGGAGAUCUUCCUUAUUGUGUUUUUAUUUCUUACCUCUUAAAAGGAGGGAAGCCCACCCGAAUCCUCAGCCUUUUUCAUAAGGAGCAUCAUCCCCACUUUUGAAAUAGCUACAUAAAAGCCUCCCAAGCUUAGAAUAAAACAAGGGGAAUAACAGAUUCAUUCAGACCUUUGCUUUACUCCUGUUUGGUUUUUUGUUCGGAAGGAUCUCCAAGUCUGCAGAAGAGGGAUAGAACAGAGGAAAUCAGCGAGAGGCAGCGGAAAGCACUCAUGCAUGACAGAUCCUUUCCCCUCUUAUCUCCACCUCUUGGAAAUGAAAUUGAAUUCAUGUAGAGUUUCAAAUGAAAGCACCACACAAGGGUUUUUUGAGGGGGUGGGGAGAUCUGCUUGCUGGUCUGGCCAGACCCAGUUUUAAUUUGCAGAAUGUGAGCUGAGACCUGAAUAUCUUGCAGGACUCCUUCCUGUUCCCACAUCUGUGCCAGCAAUUGGACUCUGCAGGAAGAUUUUGGUUAUCAUGGGAAGGCGGGAGCCAGAGGGUGAUACAGCUCCCUGUCUCAGAGUGAUCCCAAAUCUGCAGCUCCAGCACACACAUCCGCAUAGGAGUUGGCAGCAACUAUGACUCAGAAGGUGCUGUUUUUACAGACACUUUGCUGGCUACAAAGUCACUGUGAGAGUUUGCAAAACAGAUAUGUGAGGAGAGCUGCCUUUUCCCAAAAGAAAGAUGCUUGCUGGGAAUCAGGCUACCACCAGUUUACUUUCAGAUUUGCUCUUCUUUAGUGCCAUCAGUUAGAUCAUUUCUGAAGCCUAAGACUCAAAGAAGUGAAGAGAGGAAGAUGGUGUGGAUUGCCUCCAGCCUUUAGUCCCCUAAACUCAUGUCUAGAUCCCUGCUUCUUUUUGUCUCACCAGCUUCUGAUCAGAGACAACAAUGUAAGGUAGAAUCAUAAAGGCUGGAAAAGUCCUCUAUGACCCCCAAAUCCAACCCCAACCCAACCCCACCAUGCCCAGUAACUAUGUCCCUCAGUGCCACAUCCCCACAGUUCUUGAACACCUCCAGGGACGGUAACCCCACCAUCUCCACGGGCAGCCUGGCUAUACAAUACCUCUUUCUGAGAAGAAUUUUUUUCUAAUAUGCAACCGGUUGUGCAUACAAUGGGAUUGAGGUGUGCAAAACAUGUAUCGUUCAUGGUGAGACUUCACUUGUCCUAAUCUUUAGGCUCUGCAUUGAUCAGUUGGGCUGAUCAGUAAUAAAAUUCUCUGAGAGUCAUUUGUUUUGCCUGCUUAUGUUUCAUUUUAAAGGGAAGGGUUAGGUGCAGGAAGUACCAAGAGACCGAAACUGGGGAUGCACAACAACCCUUCUGAGGGCAAAACCGAGGUUCAAAACCUGGGAUUGGCCAAACCACUUUGACAUGAUGAAAAGUCAGGCAGGCCUCCUGGGAGCCCUUAGUGCUCUUCACUGCUAUAAGUACACGUUUAAAGGCUUAAAGCCAACCAUCGUGGUAUGAUCACUUUGACCUCCUGUUUACGGUAAGCUCUUACGCUUUAGCUCUUAUAUGUGUUUAGGGCUCACUGGUGUUGACCUAAUCUUUUUCAGUUCCCAUCUGUUUCUUUUCCUUCUUUCAAACUUUACACAUUUCCCCACGCCAUUUUUCAUUUAAUCCUUUAAAAAAUACUCCUCUCAUCCUCCAGCAAAAAGAAAUCAGGAUAAAAGGCAAAAUCACCAUCUCUGAAUUAGGUUCUACCCAUCCCUGAGAGGGUAAAGGAUGAGAGGGAAAAGUGGUUGAGGAGUGUAGCAUGUCUUGGUUCAGAGAUUUUGAAAGAUCCUGAGUCUGCAACUUCUUCUCAUAGUCUGAUUACUCUUGAAAAAAGUACAUUUUAUUCCCAUUUCAUGGACAUCAGGUCUAGGGGGUAAAUUUGCCCCAUGAAGCUGCUUGUACUGGUCUCCUGGCUGUCUAAGAGUCAUGAGUUGUCCCAUUACCACUGAGUGCCAUGGUGGAGGAAUGGGGCCAGAACAGCCAGGUUGUUACUGUGGUGCUGCCUCAGUCUGUAAAUCAUCUGCCAACACCUCUUCACUCUCACAAGCUGGUUUCAAGUUGACAAAUCUGUUGCCGGUGAUGGCCCAGUUGCAUUUCAAUGUCCCUGCAAGGUCCCUAGUGGAUGACGGCACUUCCGUUGUGAUGGAGAUGGUUCACCCAGCUCCAUUUUGAGUCACUGUACAGUCCAUGACUGCAUUUCAGGCCACUUACCAAAUGUGACAAAAGCAAUUCUGGCUCCUUUGCUGCAGUGACUCACAAGGACAAGGUUUUUAAGAUAUUAAGUCCCAGGAGAGGGGCCAAGAGAGUUCAGAUGCUGCCUGCAUCACAGUUGCUGUCCCUGCCCUUCUCCAUGUCAUGUUUACAUAUCAGCUGGAAAUUUCCUAAAUAAGUUGACUCGAACCAUCAACAAAUACCGUUCAGAUAAUGCACAUUUCAUGGUAUUUUCCAGAACUCUGCCCACAGGAGGAUAUAAAAACUUCUUUUGUUAUAGUAUAGCCUCCUUGGCAGCUUGUAACUCAGUGGGAAAGACUCUGGAUUCCUGGAGGAGCUUACUGUGUCAGCAAUUUUGAGUAUUUCAGGGAGCAUGAGGCCUCACUGGAGAGAAAGGAAAGCCUGAGCAAAACACUGCUUUCCUUUAAGACGAACCGGUAAUCAAAUUAGAUAAAAAAUCACAGUGAGCUAGUAAAGGGUGUGAAAAGACAGUCUCUAUCCACAGAAUUGGUGGGGUUCUAUAGGAAAUAGGAACUCUGCCAAUUGUCUACUGAGUGUGUGUCUGUGUCCUAUUUCAUUUCAAAAUGAAAGCUCAAGGCUUCUCCCAAAACUUUUGUUGGUUUAGCAAGGUGAAUGUGGAGGUAGCAUCCACCACUGGCUGUGCACAGUGCAGAAGGGAAUAUCCUUGUGUGGGGACACUCUGGGGACUUUGGUCCAUGGGCUACAGCCAUACAGUGAUCUGUCUUCUUUCUGAGACAGCCCUAAAGGUGACCUCACCCAGGAUUUCUUUCAUCCCGAGGGCUUUCCAUGCUUGGUUUUCCUGAAGAAGCUUUAUAUUUUCAAGGGGGAUUUUUCUUUGAAAGCAGGUGAUCCAAGCAAAAGGUUUAAAUGGGUUAAAAUUUUCAAGGAAAAUUAUUCCCCCAGCCAAACAGAUUUUUUGCACUGACAAAAGUUUUUUUCCUGAAAAUGAUCUGCUUUUCUUAGAAAUUAGAGUUCAUCUUUAGAAUAAUCUCUAAGGACUGGAAGGGAGGUCAAUUUUUUUUUUUUUAAUUAAAAUCAUUGCAAACCUGUUACUGAAAAUCUAAUCCUCAAGUAAUUAUGGAUUUUCCCCAUUUUUUUAAUAGCAAAUCUAUCCAGAACCUUGUUCUCUGCUUUAUAUGCUCUCACCAUCUCUGUAAAACACAGUACAGAGUUCAUGUGCUCAGUCAUGAAAUGCAUCACAUGGUUUUGCUACUGAUUAUUCAAUAGAAUGGCUUAAAUUUUGAUUCCUCAUUGAAAAAAAAAUCAACGACAUUUCCACUUUCCUUCUCCCCCCCCCUACACUGCUUUGAACAGGAAAAGUGUCUUUUCAGACCAAGGCUGGUAGGCUGGAGGGUUAGAAUAUCCCAAGUUGGAAGAGAUCCAUAAGGAUCAUUGAGUUGUUGGGCAGGUGCUGUGUGUGUUCACUGAAGAAAACUUUGGCAAUGUAGAAAAGCUUUCAUAAAAGUUGAAAGACAUGAGGUUUGUUUGGGUUUUUUUUUAACAUUAUUUUU